Molecule: ribosomal RNA, 240 nt
Filed under: uncultured bacterium
Lineage: Bacteria
Description: partial 16S ribosomal RNA
Rfam family: Bacterial small subunit ribosomal RNA
Source: RNAcentral
ACGAGUGGCGGACGGGGGAGUAAUGCUUGGGAAUCUGGCUUAUGGAGGGGGAUAACUACGGGAAACUGUAGCUAAUACCGCGUAAAAUCUUCGGAUUAAAGGGUGGGACUUUCGGGCCACCUGCCAUAAGAUGAGCCCAAGUGGGAUUAGGUAGUUGGUUAGGUAAAGGCUGACCAAGCCGACGAUCUCUAGCUGGUCUGAGAGGAUGACCAGCCACACUGGAACUGAGACACGGUCCAG